RNAcentral lists this ribosomal RNA (289 nucleotides) under uncultured Methylobacteriaceae bacterium. Its description in RNAcentral is "partial 16S ribosomal RNA". The record is from RNAcentral. Lineage: Bacteria; Pseudomonadati; Pseudomonadota; Alphaproteobacteria; Hyphomicrobiales; Methylobacteriaceae.
CUACCAGGGUUUCUAAUCCUGUUUGCUCCCCACGCUUUCGCGCCUCAGCGUCAGAACCGGACCAGUAAGCCGCCUUCGCCACUGGUGUUCUUGCGAAUAUCUACGAAUUUCACCUCUACACUCGCAGUUCCACUUACCUCUUCCGGUCUCAAGCCAUCCAGUAUCGAAGGCAAUUCUGUGGUUGAGCCACAGGCUUUCACCCCCGACUUAAAUGGCCGCCUACGCGCCCUUUACGCCCAGUGAUUCCGAGCAACGCUAGCCCCCUUCGUAUUACCGCGGCUGCUGGCAC